CAGUUAGGAUUGAUAAGUUAGGAUGAAUGAGUUAGGAUGAAUGAGUUACUGAUGAAUGAGUUAGGAUGAAUAUGUUAGGAUGAAUAAGUUAGGAUGAAUGAGUUACUGAUGAAUGAGUUAGGAUGAAUAUGUUAGGAUGAAUACGUUAGGAUGAAUAUGUUGGGAUGAAUAUGUUAGGAUGAAUGAGUUACUGAUGAAUGAGUUAGGAUGAAUAUGUUAGGAUGAAUAAGUUAGGAUGAAUGAGUUACUGAUGAAUGAGUUAGGAUGAAUAUGUUAGGAUGAAUACGUUAGGAUGAAUAUGUUGGGAUGAAUAUGUUAGGAUGAAUGAGUUACUGAUGAAUGAGUUAGGAUGAAUAUGUUAGGAUGAAUAAGUUAGGAUGAAUGAGUUAGGAUGAAUGAGUUACUGAUAAAUGAGUUAGGAUGAAUAUGUUAGGAUGAAUAAGUUAGGAUGAAUGAGUUACUAAUAAAUGAGUAAGGAUGUAUUAGUUAGGAUGAAUAAUUUAGGAUGAAUGUGUUACGAUGAAUGAGUUAGGAUGAAUAUGUUAAGAUGAAUAAGUUAGGAUGAAUGAGUUACUAAUGAAUGAGUUAGGAUGUAUGAGUUAGGAUGAAUGAUUUAGGAUGAAUGUGUUACGAUGAAUGAGUUAGGAUGAAUGAGUUACUGAUAAAUGAGUGAGGAUGAAUAUGUUAGGAUGAGUUAGGAUGAAUGAGUUACUGAUGAAUGAGUUAGGAUGAAUAAGUUACUGAUAAAUGAGUUAGGAUGAAUCAGUUAGAAUGAAUGAGUUACUGACGAAUGAGUUAGGAUGAAUAUGUUAGGAUGAAUAAGUUAGGAUGAAUAUGUUAGGAUGAAUGAGUUACUGAUGAAUGAGUUAGGAUGAAUAUGUUAGGAUGAAUAAGUUAGGAUGAAUGAGUUACUAAUGAGUGAGUUAGGAUGUAUGAGUUAGGAUGAAUGAGUUACUGAUGAAUGAGUUAGGAUGAAUAUGUUAGGAUGAAUGAGUUAGGAUGAAUGACUUACUGAUGAAUGUGUUAGGAUGAAUGAGUCAGGAUGAAUGACUUAGUGAUGAAUGUGUUAGGAUGAAUGAGUUAGGAUGAAUGACUUACUGAUGAAUGUGUUAGGAUGACUGAGUAAGUAUGAAUGAGUUAGGAUGAAUGAAUUAGGAUGAACGUGUUACUGCUGAGUGUUGAUUGUUGUAGAGAUCACUCGUUUUAACUUUUUUCCUCUUUUUCUCUUUAAAAUCUUUUUUUGAUAGUUUUUAGUUUCACACUUUUACCCCCUCUUUCUCCUCCUGCUCCUCUUUUUACUCCUCCUCCUCCUCCGCCUUCUCCUCCUCCUUUUACUCCUCCUUUUACUCCUCUUCCUCCUGCUCCUUCUCUCUCCUUCUCCUCCUUCUUUUACUCCUCCUCCUCCUUCUUCUCCUCCUACUCCUCUUGCUCCUCCUUAUACUCCUUCUCCUCCUCCUUCUCUCUCCUUCUCCUCCUCCUUUUACUCCUCCUCCUCCUCCUCCUUCUCUCUCCUGCUCCUCCUCCACCUCCUCCUCCUUCUCUCUCCUCCUGCUCCUCCUCUUACUCCUCCUCCUCUUUCCUUCUCCUCCUUCUCCUCCUUCUCCUCCUUCUCCUCCUCCUCUUUCCUCCUCCUCCUCCACCUCCUUCUCCUCCUCCUCCUCUCUCUCUGACAGUUAAACUCUGCAGGUUCAUUCAUCACGUUGAGUUUGAUGAUGUGAGGAGGUUCUUUUCUUUCUCCUGCUCCUUCUCCUCCUUCUCCUCCUUCUCCUCUUGCUCCUCCUCCUCCUCCCUCUCUGACAGUUAAACUCUGCAGGUUCUUUCAUCACGUUGAGUUCGAUGAUGUGAGGAGGAGGUUCUUUCUUUUCUCCCUGACGUUAAAAACUCCUCACAGUUCAGAUUUCCUGGAGGAGGGAUGAAAAAGAGGAAAGUGAGAAAAUUAGGGAAAGGAAGGAAGGAAGUAAGGAAGUAAGGAAGGAAGGCGGCGACAUUUGGCUGCUUAAUUGAGCCUGUCUAACAGGUUGUUAGCUUGUUAUUUCAGAUAAAUAACCCAAUAAAUGUUCCCAGAUUACAUUAUUACAGCUGUAAACGGCACCAGGGGAAUCCCAUCGUCUG
This is a non-coding RNA of Xyrichtys novacula (pearly razorfish), 2112 nucleotides long. NCBI's taxonomy places the organism in Eukaryota, Metazoa, Chordata, Actinopteri, Labriformes, Labridae. The record is from the annotation of a GenBank genome assembly.